RNAcentral lists this ribosomal RNA (441 nucleotides) under uncultured microorganism. RNAcentral describes it as "bacterial SSU rRNA". It matches the Rfam family "Bacterial small subunit ribosomal RNA", at positions 346 to 777 of the family's 1533-position model. The record is from RNAcentral.
GUGCAGCAGGCGAGAAUAGUCUACAAUGGACGAAAGUCUGAUAGUGCGACGCCGUGUGUGCGAUUAAUUCCUUCGGGAUGUAAAGCACUUUUCUAUGAGAUAAAAGCUCUUUAGGUUAAUAGCUUAUUGAGACGGAUAUUAUUAUAGGAAUAAGCUCCGGCUAACUCCGCGCCAGCAGCCGCGGUAAUACGGAAGGAGCGAGCGUUGUCCGGAUUUACUAGGCGUAAAGGGCUAGUAGGCGACUAAUUAAGUUAUAUGUUAAAUCCCACGGCUCAACUGUGGUCCUGCAUGUAAUACUGGUUAGAUAGAGUACUGUAGAGGAAGGCAGAAUUCCUGGAGUAGCGGUGGAAUGCGCAGAUAUCAGGAAGAAUACCAAAAGCGAAGGCAGCCUUCUGGGCAGUUACUGACGCUGAAUAGCGAAGGUGUGGGUAGCGAACAGGA